Molecule: ribosomal RNA, 497 nt
Filed under: uncultured bacterium
Lineage: Bacteria
Description: partial 16S ribosomal RNA
Rfam family: Bacterial small subunit ribosomal RNA
Source: RNAcentral
GAUGAACGCUGGCGGCGUGCCUAAUACAUGCAAGUCGAGCGAACAGACGAGGAGCUUGCUCCUCUGACGUUAGCGGCGGACGGGUGAGUAACACGUGGAUAACCUACCUAUAAGACUGGGAUAACUUCGGGAAACCGGAGCUAAUACCGGAUAAUAUAUUGAACCGCAUGGUUCAAUAGUGAAAGACGGUUUUGCUGUCACUUAUAGAUGGAUCCGCGCCGCAUUAGCUAGUUGGUAAGGUAACGGCUUACCAAGGCGACGAUGCGUAGCCGACCUGAGAGGGUGAUCGGCCGCACUGGAACUGAGACACGGUCCAGACUCCUACGGGAGGCAGCAGUAGGGAAUCUUCCGCAAUGGGCGAAAGCCUGACGGAGCAACGCCGCGUGAGUGAUGAAGGUCUUCGGAUCGUAAAACUCUGUUAUUAGGGAAGAACAAAUGUGCAAGUAACUAUGCACGUCUUGACGGUACCUAAUCAGAAAGCCACGGCUAACUACGUG